GUGAAUCAUCAAAUUUUUGAACGCAAAUUGCACUCUCCUCGGAGAGUAUGCCUGUUUGAGGGUCAGCCUAUAAAAAUUGACAUUGUUGGUGUUUUGCGGUGGAGUUCGUUGGGAAUUGGGGUAAUUUUAAUCCUUUUGGUUUUAGCGCCUUAUAAUUUUUUUUUGGUUUUAUGAACGUUUUUACGAUCUAUUUUUUUAUACGUU
Molecule: unclassified non-coding RNA, 204 nt
Filed under: Glomeromycota sp.
Lineage: Eukaryota; Fungi; Glomeromycota
Description: partial contains 5.8S ribosomal RNA and internal transcribed spacer 2
Rfam family: 5.8S ribosomal RNA (bases 1-65)
Source: RNAcentral